ACGCUCGACACCUACGGGAGGCAGCAGUUGGGAAUAUUGGACAAUGGAGGAAACUCUGAUCCAGUGACGCCGCGUGAAGGAAGAAGGUCUUCGGAUUGUAAACUUAUUUUGUCAGGGAAGAAAAAAUGACUGUACCUGAAGAAAAAGACACCGGCUAACUACGUGCCACAGCCGCGGUAAUCUGAGGCGGGCGUGGCGAAGGC
RNAcentral lists this ribosomal RNA (203 nucleotides) under uncultured bacterium. RNAcentral describes it as "partial 16S ribosomal RNA". It matches the Rfam family "Bacterial small subunit ribosomal RNA", at positions 328 to 544 of the family's 1533-position model. The record is from RNAcentral.